GCGCCCGUAGCUCAGUGGAUUAGAGCGCGUGACUACGGAUCACGAAGUCGGGAGUUCGAAUCUUCCCGGGCGCGCCA
This 77-nucleotide transfer RNA is filed under the name Candidatus Poribacteria bacterium. Its description in RNAcentral is "tRNA-Arg". It matches the Rfam family "tRNA". From Rfam's summary of the family: Transfer RNA (tRNA) molecules are approximately 80 nucleotides in length. Their secondary structure includes four short double-helical elements and three loops (D, anti-codon, and T loops). Further hydrogen bonds mediate the characteristic L-shaped molecular structure. tRNAs have two regions of fundamental functional importance: the anti-codon, which is responsible for specific mRNA codon recognition, and the 3' end, to which the tRNAs corresponding amino acid is attached (by aminoacyl-tRNA synthetases). tRNAs cope with the degeneracy of the genetic code in two manners: having more than one tRNA (with a specific anti-codon) for a particular amino acid; and 'wobble' base-pairing, i.e. permitting non-standard base-pairing at the 3rd anti-codon position. The record is from RNAcentral. Lineage: Bacteria; Candidatus Poribacteria.